UACAGAGGCCUCGAGCGUUGUUCGGAAUUACUGGGCGUAAAGGGAAUGUAGGUGGUCAUGUAAGUCAGAUGUGAAAGCCCUAGGCUUAACCUGGGAAGCGCAUUUGAUACUGCGUGGCUGGAGUGCGAGAGAGGAAAGCGGAAUUCCUGGUGUAGGAGUGAAAUCCGUAGAUAUCAGGAGGAAUACCGAUGGCGAAGGCAGCUUUCUGGCUCGUAACUGACACUGAGAUUCGAAAGCUUGGGUAGCAAACAGG
RNAcentral lists this ribosomal RNA (253 nucleotides) under uncultured bacterium. Its description in RNAcentral is "partial 16S ribosomal RNA". It matches the Rfam family "Bacterial small subunit ribosomal RNA", at positions 524 to 776 of the family's 1533-position model. The record is from RNAcentral.